UACGGGGGGAGCAAGCGUUGUUCGGAUUUACUGGGCGUAAAGGGCGCGUAGGCGGUCAGCACAAGUCAGUUGUGAAAUCUCCGGGCUUAACUCGGAAAGGUCAACUGAUACUGUGCGACUAGAGUGCAGAAGGGGCAACUGGAAUUCUCGGUGUAGCGGUGAAAUGCGUAGAUAUCGAGAGGAACACCUGCGGCGAAGGCGGGUUGCUGGGCCGACACUGACGCUGAUGCGCGAAAGCUAGGGGAGCGAACGGG
RNAcentral lists this ribosomal RNA (254 nucleotides) under uncultured bacterium. RNAcentral's name for it is "partial 16S ribosomal RNA". It matches the Rfam family "Bacterial small subunit ribosomal RNA", at positions 524 to 776 of the family's 1533-position model. The record is from RNAcentral.